AGGACGAACGCUGGCGGCGUGCUUAACACAUGCAAGUCGAGCGGAAGGGCCCUUCGGGGUACUCGAGCGGCGAACGGGUGAGUAACACGUGAGUAAUCUGCCCCUAGCUCUGGGAUAGCUCCGGGAAACCGGGAUUAAUACCAGAUACGACCACUUUAGACAUCUGCUGUGGUGGAAAGAUUUCGGCUAGGGAUGAGCUCGCGGCCUAUCAGCUUGUUGGUGAGGUAACGGCUCACCAAGGCGACGACGGGUAGCCGGCCUGAGAGGGCGACCGGGCCACGACUGGGACUGAGACACGGCCCAGACUCCUACGGGAGGCAGCAGUGGGGAAUAUUGCGCAAUGGGCGAAAGCCUGACGCAGCGACGCGCGUGGGGAUGAAGGCUUCGGUUGUAACCCUUUCAGCAGGACGAAGCGAAGUGACGGUACCUGCAGAAGAAGCGCCGGCUAACUACGUGCCAGCAGCCGC
RNAcentral lists this ribosomal RNA (467 nucleotides) under uncultured bacterium. RNAcentral's name for it is "SSU rRNA". It matches the Rfam family "Bacterial small subunit ribosomal RNA", at positions 26 to 518 of the family's 1533-position model. The record is from RNAcentral.